CUUUUUGCUAUUUCUUGGGCCGCUCCCACGGCAUAUGGAGGUUCCCAGGCUAGGGGUUGAAUCGGAGCUGUAGCCACCAGCCUACGCCAGAGGCACAGCAACGUGGGAUCUGGGCCGCAUCUGCAACCUACACCACAGCUCACAGCAACGUCGGAUAGUUAACCCACUGAGCAAGGGCAAGGACCGAACCCGCAACCUCAUGGUUCCUAGUCGGAUUCGUUAACCACUGUGCCACGACGGGAACUCCCCCACUCUUCUUUUAAAUAUCUAAAAAGGAACUCCCCUACCCUGGGAAUCUCCAUACGCUGUGGGUGUGGCCCUAAAACCUCAAAAGGUAGCUUUCUUUCUAUAGGUCCUCUCUUCUAUUCACAUUUCCUUAAAAAAAAAAUCCCAAACCUUGGUCUUAUAAAAAUUGGCCAUUGGCCUUAGAAUGCUUCUUCUGCCCUGGGGCCAUUACAACCCUCCCAGCAGGACCUGGCCCCUCAGGAAUGGAAGCUAACACUUGGGGCAGUUCGUUCUCUUCAGAGACACUCCAGCCUAUUCUGCUGAUACUGUUGAACUCCACUCAAGAAAUCCAUCCCUUUUAGAGUCCCCGUCAUGGCUCAGUGGUUAACGAAUCCGACUAGGAACCAUGAGGUUGCGGGUUCGAUCCCAGGACUCUCUCAGUGGGUUAAGGAUCCAGUGUUGCUGUGAGCUGUGGUGUAGGUCACAGACGCGGCUCAGAUCCCGUGUUGCUGUGGCUGUGGUGUAGGCCGGCGGCUACAGCUCCGAUUCGACCCCUAGCCUGGGAACCUCCAUAUGCCAUGGGAGCAGCCCAAGAAAUGGCAAAAAGACCAAAAAAAAAAUCUAUCCCUUUUGAGCGAUACAAAUUGCCUUUUUCCUGCUCUAAUAAAUGACAUACAUAUUCUCAAUCCAGUCUGUGCUCCAUUAGGAUAUAUAUAUAUAUAUAUAUAUAGUCUUUUUAGGGCCACACUUGAGGUAUAUGGAGGUUCCCAGGCUAGGGGUUGAAUCGGAGCUGUAGCUGCCAGUCUACACCAUAGCCACAGAAACGCCGGAUCCUUAACCCACUGAGCGAGGCCAGGGAUUGAACCUGAGUUCUCAUGGAUGCUAGUCGGUUUCAUUAACCGCUGAGCCAUGAUGGGAACUCCUCCACUAGGAUAUUUUUAUUAAUUUCGCCUUUCAGGGCCGCUCCCAUGGCUAUAGGAAGUUCCCAGGCUAGGGGUCAAAUCGGAGCUGGAACUAUUGGACUAGGCCACAGCCACAGUAACGCCAGACCUGAGUCGCAUCUGUGACCUACACCACAGCUCACGGCAACGCCGGAUCCUUAACCCACUGAGCAAGGCCAGGGAGCCAACCUGCACCUUCAUGGAUCCUAGUCGGGUUUAUUACCGCUGAGCCAGGAUGGAAACUCCAGAAAAUCAUCUAAAAGAACUUUUAGUCCUCAUAAGAGAGGUGAGGAAGGUGACCAGAAAACAAGACCUAAUACAAAAUAAAAUAACCUUUCUUUGCCGACA
Molecule: long non-coding RNA, 1514 nt
Filed under: Sus scrofa (pig)
Lineage: Eukaryota; Metazoa; Chordata; Mammalia; Artiodactyla; Suidae
Description: lncRNA (ENSSSCG00030056980.1)
Source: RNAcentral